GAUGAACGCUGGCGGCGUGCCUAAUACAUGCAAGUCGAGCGAACGGACGAGAAGCUUGCUUCUCUGAUGUUAGCGGCGGACGGGUGAGUAACACGUGGAUAACCUACCUAUAAGACUGGGAUAACUUCGGGAAACCGGAGCUAAUACCGGAUAAUAUUUUGAACCGCAUGGUUCAAAAGUGAAAGACGGUCUUGCUGUCACUUAUAGAUGGAUCCGCGCUGCAUUAGCUAGUUGGUAAGGUAACGGCUUACCAAGGCAACGAUGCAUAGCCGACCUGAGAGGGUGAUCGGCCACACUGGAACUGAGACACGGUCCAGACUCCUACGGGAGGCGGCAGUAGGGAAUCUUCCGCAAUGGGCGAAAGCCUGACGGAGCAACGCCGCGUGAGUGGUGAAGGUCUUCGGAUCGUAAAACUCUGUUAUUAGGGAAGAACAUAUGUGUAAGUAACUGUGCACAUCUUGACGGUACCUAAUCAGAAAGCCACGGCUAACUACGU
RNAcentral lists this ribosomal RNA (496 nucleotides) under uncultured bacterium. RNAcentral describes it as "partial 16S ribosomal RNA". It matches the Rfam family "Bacterial small subunit ribosomal RNA", at positions 28 to 506 of the family's 1533-position model. The record is from RNAcentral.